This 439-nucleotide ribosomal RNA is filed under the name uncultured bacterium. Its description in RNAcentral is "partial 16S ribosomal RNA". It matches the Rfam family "Bacterial small subunit ribosomal RNA", at positions 339 to 795 of the family's 1533-position model. The record is from RNAcentral.
CUACGGGUUGCACCAGUGAGGAAUAUUGCACAAUGGGGGGAACCCUGAUGCAGCAACGCCGCGUGGAGGAUGACGCAUUUCGGUGUGUAAACUCCUUUUAUAUGUCAAGAAAAUGACGGUAGCAUAUGAAUAAGCACCGGCUAACUCCGUGCCAGCAGCCGCGGUAAUACGGAGGGUGCAAGCGUUACUCGGAAUCACUGGGCGGAGAGGACGCGUAGGCGGGUUGGAAAGUCAGGUGUGAAAUCCUACAGCUUAACUGUAGAACUGCACUUGAAACUUCUAAUCUAGAGUAUGGGAGGGGGAGAUGGAAUUAGUGGUGUAGGGGUAAAAUCCGUAGAUAUCACUAGGAAUACCUAAAGCGAAGGCGAUCUCCUGGAACAUUACUGACGCUAAGGCGUGAAAGCGUGGGGAGCAAACAGGAUUAGAUACCCCCGUAGUC